RNAcentral lists this long non-coding RNA (393 nucleotides) under Trifolium pratense (red clover). RNAcentral describes it as "long non-coding RNA (TPRA_LNC012209)". The record is from RNAcentral. Lineage: Eukaryota; Viridiplantae; Streptophyta; Magnoliopsida; Fabales; Fabaceae.
AAGACCUCAAAUAUGUGUGCGAUGUAUUUACUUUGAUUGACAUUUAGAAUUUUUUCAAGCUUAUGGUAAAAUAGCAUUUGCAUGUUGAUAGAGUGAAUACCCCGUCAAAAAUUGAGUGAAUUAGUGAGUGAGAGAUAAGGUUGAACUUUGUACAUUGUGUGGAACGGUCAUUGGACCAAAUUUGAUUCAAGUCUUGGAAGCCAAAGUGUUGAUUGAGUAGGAUCACUGAAGUUAACACCGGUGGUUCUAUUGCCGGAUGAAGAGAAAAAAGUUUGUGAGAUUUUUAUCAUUCAAAUUAAUUUGUUAAUUCCUUGAUAGUUUUGUGUUGACAUGCAUGUCACUUGAGGACAAGUAACAGUUCAAGUUUGGGGUUGUGAUGACAUUCGGUCAUUU